Long non-coding RNA from Portunus trituberculatus (swimming crab), 649 nucleotides. RefSeq lists it as uncharacterized. The record is from RefSeq and is a predicted model, not a curated record. Lineage: Eukaryota; Metazoa; Arthropoda; Malacostraca; Decapoda; Portunidae. The transcript has 4 exons.
AAGAAGAUCCGCCAUUGUUAGUUCGUAGGGUAGACAUUGACAGUUUUUGAACAUUUGUGGAGCAGAGGUGCACCAUGGCUUGCCACAAUGUCACAAUGGGUUCUUGGAGAGCCGCUGCUGUUGACUUGCUGCAUGUCUCCUCUCUGCGGCAAAACUCCACAAAUACUCCACUCACCAAGUUCCAGAGGGAGAGGAUCACCAGCCACCACCGGCCGUACUAAAGGAAGUGGCUCUAUGUAGGGAUGGAACACAUAGCAACUACACCAGCUGGGACACACCUAGCCAACUGAAAGUCAAGCCAAUAGUCCCUGAAUGUUGCCAAGGAGACACACUGCACCACCAAGCCAAGCCAAGGCAAGCUACAAUGCAACACAAGCCUUUUACAACACCUACAGCCAUCAGCAAAACCCAGAGUACAAGACAACACCUGGAGUCAUGAAGAACAGUUAUGAUGGAUUAGCAGUUUGGAAUGUUUUUUUUCAAGGACAUUUUAAGACAAGUUUGGCAUCUUUUUCAGGGCAUUCUAAGAGAGUUUGGCAUGUUUUAUGGUAUUUUAAGACCAUUUGGCAUGUUUUAGGGUGAAGAUAUUGGCCAUUAAUCUUCUGAUGUCUAUAAACCUUUUCUAAUGUCAAUAAAAUGGUUUAAUGGU